CUACGGGAGGCAGCAGUGGGGAAUCUUGCGCAAUGGGCGAAAGCCUGACGCAGCAACGCCGCGUGGGGGAAGAAGGCUCUAGGGUUGUAAACCCCUUUCAGUAGGAACGAAGAUGACGGUACCUGCAGAAGAAGGUUCGGCCAACUACGUGCCAGCAGCCGCGGUGACACGUAGGCACCAAGCGUUGUCCGGAUUUAUUGGGCGUAAAGAGCUCGUAGGCGGUUCAGUAAGUCGGGUGUGAAAACUUCGGGCUCAACUCGAAGCUUGCACUCGAUACUGCUGUGACUCGAGUCCGGUAGGGGAGUGGGGAAUUCCUGGUGUAGCGGUGAAAUGCGCAGAUAUCAGGAGGAACACCGGUGGCGAAGGCGCCACUCUGGGCCGGUACUGACGCUGAGGAGCGAAAGCGUGGGUAGCAAACAGGAUUAGAUACCCUGGUAGUCC
Molecule: ribosomal RNA, 441 nt
Filed under: uncultured bacterium
Lineage: Bacteria
Description: bacterial SSU rRNA
Rfam family: Bacterial small subunit ribosomal RNA
Source: RNAcentral